Molecule: unclassified non-coding RNA, 281 nt
Filed under: Hevea brasiliensis (rubber tree)
Lineage: Eukaryota; Viridiplantae; Streptophyta; Magnoliopsida; Malpighiales; Euphorbiaceae
Source: RNAcentral
AUCAACCUAUCAUUUCACAGUGCAGAUCUUUAUGACAGAUGCAACACCAAUACGGUGCAGCGCGACGAUAGAAUCACCCAACUUACACAGACCCUUUGCGGUGGCCGUCUUGAGUGCAGCCUCGAGGAUCACCUCAGUCGACUCUGCAUCAGUUGCCUUGGCGGAGCCCUCCGCCAACAGUGGGAUGAGACCCCUGUAGAUCAGACUAAGCCUGGCUGGUGACUCAUCACUCACCGCCCAAUCAAAAGAAUCAGUAGUCAGCUCCGGUACCACCACUGACA